CGAAGAUGGCGACCGGCGCACGGUGAGUAACACGUAUCCAACCUGCCGAUAACUCGGGGAUAGCCUUUCGAAAGAAAGAUUAAUACCCGAUGGCAUAAUUAGACCGCAUGGUCUUAUUAUUAAAGAAUUUCGGUUAUCGAUGGGGAUGCGUUCCAUUAGGCAGUUGGUGAGGUAACGGCUCACCAAACCUUCGAUGGAUAGGGGUUCUGAGAGGAAGGUCCCCCACAUUGGAACUGAGACACGGUCCAA
This 249-nucleotide ribosomal RNA is filed under the name uncultured bacterium. RNAcentral describes it as "partial 16S ribosomal RNA". It matches the Rfam family "Bacterial small subunit ribosomal RNA", at positions 83 to 334 of the family's 1533-position model. The record is from RNAcentral.